UACGGAGGGUGCAAGCGUUACUCGGAAUCACUGGGCGUAAAGCGCGCGCAGGCGGCCUUUUAAGUUGGAUGUGAAAGCCUACGGCUCAACCGUAGAACUGCAUCCAAAACUAUCAGGCUAGAGUGUGGGAGAGGAAGAUGGAAUUAGUUGUGUAGGGGUAAAAUCCGUAGAGAUAACUAGGAAUACCAAAAGCGAAGGCAAUCUUCUGGAACACUACUGACGCUGAGGCGCGAAAGCGUGGGGAGCAAACAGGAUUAGAUACCCUGGUAGUCCACGCAGUAAACGAUGAAUGUUAGUCGUCGGGGGCCUAGUGUCUUCGGUGAUGCAGCUAACGCAUUAAACAUUCCGCCUGGGGAGUACGGUCGCAAGAUUAAAACUCAAAGGAAUAGACGGGGACCCGCACAAGUGGUGGAGCAUGUGGUUUAAUUCGAAGAUACGCGAAGAACCUUACCUAGCCUUGACAUAUAUUAGAACUCCGUAGAGAUACAGAGGUGCCUUCGGGAGCUUUUAUACAGGUGCUGCACGGCUGUCGUCAGCUCGUGUCGUGAGAUGUUGGGUUAAGUCCCGCAACGAGCGCAACCCUCGUCACUAGUUACUAACGGUUCGGCCGAGGACUCUAGUGAGACUGCCUUCGUAAGGAGGAGGAAGGUGAGGACGACGUCAAGUCAUCAUGGCCCUUACGGCUAGGGCAACACACGUGCUACAAUGGCCAGGACAGUGAGACGCAAUACCGCGAGGUGGAGCAAAUCUAUAAACCUGGUCUCAGUUCGGAUUGUUCUCUGCAACUCGAGAACAUGAAGCUGGAAUCACUAGUAAUCGUAGAUCAGCUAUGCUACGGUGAAUACGUUCCCGGGUC
This 856-nucleotide ribosomal RNA is filed under the name uncultured bacterium. RNAcentral's name for it is "bacterial SSU rRNA". It matches the Rfam family "Bacterial small subunit ribosomal RNA", at positions 524 to 1380 of the family's 1533-position model. The record is from RNAcentral.